CCGAAUCAGAAAUCAACACAAGCUAGUGUUGUCAAGCAGUUUGUUCAAUUUCCAUCACAUUGUUCGACAACAACACUGUUUGUAUUAAUUUAUUAAAUCACAUAUUGCAGAACAACAGCUGUUUAUUAAAACUCCAUUACGCUAUAGCAGCUAUUCGACAAUACUAACACAAGCUUGCAGUCGAAGGGCUUUGAAUAAAAAGUAACAUAAAAGUUGUUGGGACAAAAUGUAAAUCAUAGAUAGAUAUUCAAACUUCCCUCCUCUAUCUCUCUUUCUUUUAUUCUCGUAUGUAUCGCAAUUGAGCACCUCUAGUGUAUAGGCAUGUUCACCAACUUUAAAACAUUGCCAUUGUUAGAUUUGGGAAGGUUUUAAAAUUCACUCCACAAAUCAACCAUACUUAUCU
This 403-nucleotide long non-coding RNA is filed under the name Lathyrus oleraceus (garden pea). RNAcentral describes it as "Pisum sativum (pea) long non-coding RNA (PSAT_LNC040690)". Lineage: Eukaryota; Viridiplantae; Streptophyta; Magnoliopsida; Fabales; Fabaceae. The record is from RNAcentral.